RNAcentral lists this ribosomal RNA (460 nucleotides) under uncultured bacterium. Its description in RNAcentral is "bacterial SSU rRNA". It matches the Rfam family "Bacterial small subunit ribosomal RNA", at positions 30 to 479 of the family's 1533-position model. The record is from RNAcentral.
AUUGAACGCUGGCGGCAUGCCUUACACAUGCAAGUCGAACGGCAGCACGGGAGCAAUCCUGGUGGCGAGUGGCGAACGGGUGAGUAAUAUAUCGGAACGUGCCCAGUCGUGGGGGAUAACGUAGCGAAAGCUACGCUAAUACCGCAUACGAUCUAUGGAUGAAAGCGGGGGAUCGCAAGACCUCGCGCGAUUGGAGCGGCCGAUAUCAGAUUAGGUAGUUGGUGAGGUAAAGGCUCACCAAGCCGACGAUCUGUAGCUGGUCUGAGAGGACGACCAGCCACACUGGGACUGAGACACGGCCCAGACUCCUACGGGAGGCAGCAGUGGGGGAAUUUUUGGACAAUGGACGCAAGUCUGAUCCAGCCAUUCCGCGUGCAGGAUGAAGGCCCUCGGGUUGUAAACUGCUUUUGUACGGUAACGAAAAGGUUUACUAUUAAUACUAGGAGCUCAUGACGGUACC